CGGGAGGCAGCAGUGGGGAAUAUUGCACAAUGGGCGCAAGCCUGAUGCAGCCAUGCCGCGUGUGUGAAGAAGGCCUUCGGGUUGUAAAGCACUUUCAGUCGUGAGGAAGGUAGUGUAGUUAAUAGCUGCAUUAUUUGACGUUAGCGACAGAAGAAGCACCGGCUAACUCCGUGCCAGCAGCCGCGGUAAUACGGAGGGUGCGAGCGUUAAUCGGAAUUACUGGGCGUAAAGCGCAUGCAGGUGGUUUGUUAAGUCAGAUGUGAAAGCCCGGGGCUCAACCUCGGAAUUGCAUUUGAAACUGGCAGACUAGAGUACUGUAGAGGGGGGUAGAAUUUCAGGUGUAGCGGUGAAAUGCGUAGAGAUCUGAAGGAAUACCGGUGGCGAAGGCGGCCCCCUGGACAGAUACUGACACUCAGAUGCGAAAGCGUGGGGAGCAAACAGGAUUAGAUACCCUGGUAGUCCACGCCGUAAACGAUGU
This 478-nucleotide ribosomal RNA is filed under the name Vibrio parahaemolyticus. RNAcentral's name for it is "bacterial SSU rRNA". It matches the Rfam family "Bacterial small subunit ribosomal RNA", at positions 342 to 812 of the family's 1533-position model. The record is from RNAcentral. Lineage: Bacteria; Pseudomonadati; Pseudomonadota; Gammaproteobacteria; Vibrionales; Vibrionaceae.